Molecule: transfer RNA, 66 nt
Filed under: Mytilus californianus (California mussel)
Lineage: Eukaryota; Metazoa; Mollusca; Bivalvia; Mytilida; Mytilidae
Description: tRNA-Leu
Source: RNAcentral
UGUGAGCUGGCAGAAUAAAUGUGUUUGAUUUAGGAUCAACUUAUAAGUAUAUAUACUUGCUUGCAU